Molecule: ribosomal RNA, 933 nt
Filed under: Citrobacter sp. SI-GU-1B
Lineage: Bacteria; Pseudomonadati; Pseudomonadota; Gammaproteobacteria; Enterobacterales; Enterobacteriaceae
Description: bacterial SSU rRNA
Rfam family: Bacterial small subunit ribosomal RNA
Source: RNAcentral
GCGGCAGGCCUAACACAUGCAAGUCGAGCGGUAGCACAGAGAGCUUGCUCUCGGGUGACGAGUGGCGGAUGGGUGAUUAAUGUCUGGGAAACUGCCCGAUGGAGGGGGAUAACUACUGGAAACGGUAGCUAAUACCGCAUAAUGUCGCAGAACCAAAGAGGGGGACCUUCCGGCCUCUUGCCAUCGGAUGUGCCCAGAUGGGAUUAGCUGGUGGGUGGGGUAACGGCUCACCUAAGCAACGAUCCCUAGCUGGUCUGAGAGGAUGACCACCCACACUGUAACUGACACACGGUCCACACUCCUACGGGAGGCAUCAGUGGGGAAUAUUGCACAAUGGGCGCAAGCCUGAUGCAUCCCUGCCGCGUGUAUGAAGAAUGCCUUCUGGUUGUAAAGUUCUUUCAGCGAGGAGGAAGGUGUUGUGGUUAAUAACCGCAUUGAUUGACGUUACUCACAAAAGAAGCACCGGCUAACUCCGUGCCACCAGCCGCGGUAAUACGGAGGGUGCAAGCGUUAAUCGGAAUUACUGGGCGUAAAGCGCACGCAGGCGGUCUGUCUAGUCGGAUGUGAAAUCCCCGGGCUCUACCUGGGAACUGCAUCAGAAACUGGCAGGCUAUAGUCUUGUAGAGGGGGGUAUAAUUCCAGGUGUAGCGGUGAAAUGCGUAGAGAUCUGGAGGAAUACCGGUGGCGAAGGCGGCCCCCUGGACAAAGACUGACGCUUUGGUGCGAAAUCGUGGGGAGCAAAUAGGAUUAUAUACCUUGGUCGUCCACGCUGUAAACGAUGUCUACUUGGAGGUUGUGCCCUUGAGGCGUGGCUUCCGGAGCUAACGCGUUAAGUCGACCGCCUGGGGAGUACGGCCGCAAGGUUAAAACUCAAAUGAAUUGACGGGGCCCGCACAAGCGGUGGAGCAUGUGGUUUAAUUCGAUGCAACGCGA